UUAAUGAGAGUUUGAUCCUGGCUCAGGACGAACGCUGGCGGCGUGCCUAAUACAUGCAAGUAGAACGCUGAAGGAGGAGCUUGCUUCUCUGGAUGAGUUGCGAACGGGUGAGUAACGCGUAGGUAACCUGCCUGGUAGCGGGGGAUAACUAUUGGAAACGAUAGCUAAUACCGCAUAAGAGUGGAUGUUGCAUGACAUUUGCUUAAAAGGUGCACUUGCAUCACUACCAGAUGGACCUGCGUUGUAUUAGCUAGUUGGUGGGGUAACGGCUCACCAAGGCGACGAUACAUAGCCGACCUGAGAGGGUGAUCGGCCACACUGGGACUGAGACACGGCCCAGACUCCUACGGGAGGCAGCAGUAGGGAAUCUUCGGCAAUGGACGGAAGUCUGACCGAGCAACGCCGCGUGAGUGAAGAAGGUUUUCGGAUCGUAAAGCUCUGCUGUAAGAGAAGAACGAGUGUGAGAGUGGAAAGUUCACACUGUGACGGUAUCUUACCAGAAAGGGAC
This 508-nucleotide ribosomal RNA is filed under the name Staphylococcus aureus. RNAcentral describes it as "bacterial SSU rRNA". It matches the Rfam family "Bacterial small subunit ribosomal RNA", at positions 1 to 494 of the family's 1533-position model. The record is from RNAcentral. Lineage: Bacteria; Bacillati; Bacillota; Bacilli; Caryophanales; Staphylococcaceae.